CAAUAGCGUAUAUUUAAGUUGCUGCAGUUAAAAAGCUCGUAGUUGGAUUUCGGGUGGGAAUGGCCGGUCCGCCGUUUCGGUGUGCACUUGCUACGCCCACCUUGCUGCCGGGGACGUGCUCUUGAGUUCACGCUCGGGACACGGAGUCGGCGAGGUUACUUUGAGUAAAUUAGAGUGUUCAAAGCAGGCCUACGCUCUGAAUACAUUAGCAUGGAAUAACACGAUAGGACUCUGGCCUAUCUUGUUGGUCUGUAGGACCGGAGUAAUGAUUAAGAGGGACAGUCGGGGGCAUUCGUAUUUCAUUGUCAGAGGUGAAAUUCUCGGAUUUAUGAAAGACGAACUUCUGCGAAAGCAUUUGUCAAGGAUGUUUUCAUUAA
This 377-nucleotide ribosomal RNA is filed under the name uncultured eukaryote. Its description in RNAcentral is "partial 18S ribosomal RNA". It matches the Rfam family "Eukaryotic small subunit ribosomal RNA", at positions 592 to 976 of the family's 1831-position model. The record is from RNAcentral.